UAGGGAAUCUUCCGCAAUGGACGCAAGUCUGACGGAGCAACGCCGCGUGAGUGAAGAAGGAUUUCGGUUCGUAAAACUCUGUUGUUAGAGAAGAACAGCGCAUAGAGUAACUGUUAUGCGUGUGACGGUAUCUAACCAGAAAGCCACGGCUAGCUACGUGCCAGCAGCCGCGGUAAUACGUAGGUGGCAAGCGUUGUCCGGAUUUAUUGGGCGUAAAGCGAGCGCAGGCGGUCAAUUAAGUCUGAUGUGAAAGCCCCCGGCUCAACCGGGGAGGGUCAUUGGAAACUGGUUGACUUGAGUGCAGAAGAGGAGAGUGGAAUUCCAUGUGUAGCGGUGAAAUGCGUAGAUAUAUGGAGGAACACCAGUGGCGAAGGCGACUCUCUGGUCUGUAACUGACGCUGAGGCUCGAAAGCGUGGGUAGCAAACAGG
Molecule: ribosomal RNA, 429 nt
Filed under: Bacteroidota bacterium
Lineage: Bacteria; Pseudomonadati; Bacteroidota
Description: Bacteroidetes bacterium partial 16S ribosomal RNA
Rfam family: Bacterial small subunit ribosomal RNA
Source: RNAcentral